Molecule: ribosomal RNA, 475 nt
Filed under: uncultured bacterium
Lineage: Bacteria
Description: bacterial SSU rRNA
Rfam family: Bacterial small subunit ribosomal RNA
Source: RNAcentral
AUUGAACGCUGGCGGCAUGCCUUACACAUGCAAGUCGAACGGCAGCACGGGAGCAAUCCUGGUGGCGAGUGGCGAACGGGUGAGUAAUAUAUCGGAACGUGCCCAGUCGUGGGGGAUAACGUAGCGAAAGCUACGCUAAUACCGCAUACGAUCUAUGGAUGAAAGCGGGGGAUCGCAAGACCUCGCGCGAUUGGAGCGGCCGAUAUCAGAUUAGGUAGUUGGUGGGGUAAAAGCCUACCAAGCCUUCGAUCUGUAGCUGGUCUGAGAGGACGACCAGCCACACUGGAACUGAGACACGGUCCAGACUCCUACGGGAGGCAGCAGUGGGGAAUUUUGGACAAUGGGCGCAAGCCUGAUCCAGCAAUGCCGCGUGCAGGAUGAAGGCCUCGGUUGUAAGGACUUUGUUGGGACGAAGCUAUCUUGUCUAUAACAAGAUAGCAUGAGUGUACCAAACGAAUAAGACACCGGCUAACUA